Molecule: long non-coding RNA, 5396 nt
Filed under: Musa acuminata (dwarf banana)
Lineage: Eukaryota; Viridiplantae; Streptophyta; Magnoliopsida; Zingiberales; Musaceae
Description: long non-coding RNA (MACU_LNC002839)
Source: RNAcentral
GAACCCUCGGUGAUCCUCCUGCGGACUUCCGGCAAACUCCUGGACUUGCGACGAUCCACUUGGCAAGUUCCGACGAGCUCCUUUGGCAAACUUCUGGACUUCUCGGAUUUGUUCCCGCAGAACCUCCGACGACUGUCCGAACUUCCGUCGAGCUCUCGAACUCCCAACGUGAUCAUUGUCAUGACUCCGGCGCAACUCCUGCUGCAGGUCUUACUUUCAUCGUAGUUAAUCCUGCACAUUUAUCUCAACACACAGAUUAGACAAACAAAUGACAAUUGACUUCAUCAUCAAAAUCCGAGAUUCAACAAUCUUCCCCUUUUUGAUGAUGACAAUCAAUUGAUAAUAGAGUUAACCUUAACUCCUCCUGUCUAUAUGCCAUACUUCUUAAAUUUAAAAACUUUAUAAAUUCAAGAGACAUAUUCCCAUCAUGAUUCCUAUCAUGAUGUAUCUCUUUGAAGAUGAUGUCAAGGCUUGACAUUCAUUUUCAAAUAUAACAAGUUUGAAUGAUGGUUAUUGUAGCAAUUCAUCAUAUUUGUAAGAUAUCGACAUGUAAGGCUGUGAAGCAAGAUUUCGAUAUCAUUACAUGAUGUACACAUUUCGAAUAUUUUAGCAAGUGUAGCAUUGCAUCAGAUGGUAAGAUAUCAGCUCGUACAAUGCAAAUUUUUGUUUGAUAUCUUAAUACAGGGCAUAUAGCAAUGAUAGCAAUCAUAUAUUUCUUGGUGAUGCAAGUAUGGCCUAAUCAUAGCAAUGAUAGCAAUCAUAUAUUUCUUGGUGAUGCAAGUAUGGCCUAAUUAUAGCAUCAGUGAUAGCAACCAUAUCAACAUUAGUGAUAGCAAACAUAUCAAUUCAUAUAUUUCUCCCCCUUUGUCAUUAACAAAAAGCAUGGUAGAUGUGAUUCCAAGAGAACAAUAUAAGCAGGUUAUCAAGCACAUAAAGGAAGGCAUGACACGUAUAAUGCUUUGAAUACCUCUUCUCCUUGUAUGUUGUAAUUCUUUGUGCAUGAAGGAGGAAAGUCAUUUUUCCAAAAAAAAAUUUACAUAAGAGUGUACAGGAAAAUCCAAUUUUUAGCAUUCAAAUUGUUAAGCAAAUCCGAAAAUGAAAUGAACUCUUCCAUGCAUUCGGACAUAAGUCAGUUAUUUGAUCAAGUGAUACCAAGGCAUGUAAUAGUAAUCAAGUGAUUUGAUCAUUCAAUAAAGUCCGAAAAAUAAUUUUAACUGGUUUAAGUAUUCGGACACAUCAACAUUCCUAAUUCUCUUCUUAUGAAAUCAAAUUGUUCUUCACUUAGAGGUUUUGUAAAGAUAUCAUCUAGUUGAUGUUUCGUAUCAAUGUCAUAUUACUGACUUAUCAACUACAUUGGUAUGUCACUUUAUAUUUAUCAAGGCACAAGGUUUUCAAAACAUUUAGUUUCAAUGUAAAAUCCGAGAUAAACAACAAGAGAUGUUUGUAACUUUGCAUAUGCUCACAGAUCAAGGUAAAUAAAGAGUAACAUACGGAGUUUACAACAUGUCAUAUUAAAGAUAAAGUCCAUCAUGAGGAGUUUAUAACAACAACGGAUGAUUGUGUUCAUACAAGCUCAUUCAUGAGGUGGAAAGUUAAAGUGCCUAAAUAAAGAGUCAAAUUGUCGAUGAAUUUGCUGCAGCUCAGUUAGGAUUUGAUCUUGUCGAUGUUCAAGCCGUUCUUGUCUUUGUUCGAAUCGGUCCAUCCGAAUCCCAAUAUCUUCGACAGAUGAUGUGUGAGUUUGCUCAAAUGGAUGUGUUUCCUCAAAGGGACAGAUCGGAGAAGAUUGGGUACCCCUAAAGACUGGUGUUUCCGGUUCUGGUUCAGGUUAAGGGGGAUCAGUUCUUCUUGGCAUUCUAACCCAGUUAUCGUUUCUAUAAAAACAUCUUAAUCGGUGAAGUAGAUUUUUAUUAAUUAUGUUGAAUCUAUCUACUUUUAUUACUUCUUCUUCCGGUGGUAUUAGAAUAUCGUAGGCUUUCAUUAUUCUAGUUAUUAUACCACCAUAUGGGAGCAUCAUGUNNNNNNNNNNNNNNNNNNNNAAUGGACAAUAAUGCGUCUUAUGUCCAAAUUUACAACAAAAGUUACAUUUGGUUUGGUGUUGAACAUGUAAGAUGGGGCCUUUUAUGAAGGUGAUUGGAUUUAGGUGAGGACUUCUCACAAAUCCAAUUCCACUCUUUUUUGGAACGUGACCCUUGUUUGCAAGGAUCAUGUUCAAUGACUUGCUACCAACCUCGAAUUUCUUCAAGGUGUCCUUAAGUAGCAGAUCAUGGCAUUUGAUACAUGAAUUUAAACUAUCAUGAUAUUCAGUUUUUAACUUAUCAAAAUCACAAGUAAGACUAUCAUGCUCCUUUUUUAGCAAUUUGUAUUUUCUAUUGAUAAUCUUGCAUUCAUCAAAUAAGUCAUGGAAGGCAUUUAAUAAUUCAUCGAAAGAUAAAUCAGCAUCUAAUAAAUUUGUUACCUCUUCUCCGAUGGCCAUUAAGGCGUAAUGAGCAACUUGCUCGGUGUUGGACUCCUCUUCUUCAGAUGUGCUUGAAUCAUCCCAUGUUGCUUUGAGCGCCUUCUUCUUUGUUGUUCUCUUUUUGGCUUGGGGACAAUCACUCUUGUAGUGUUCCAGCUUUUUGCACUCAUAGCAAAUAACUUGGUCCUUCUUGGGUUCAAGUUUAUUUUUAGUGUCAUUCUUAAACUUGCUUCUUUUAAUAAUUUUUUUAAAUUUUCUUGUUAGAAGUGUCAAGUCAUCGUCACAGUCCUCAUCACUUGAGUUUUCUUUCAAGUGGUCUUCCAAAGUGCUAAGUGCCAUAUCCUUCCUGUUCUUUGGAAGGAUGUCUUCUUGCUCUUCAUGAGCUUUGCAAGUCAUCUCGUAGGUCAUUAAUGACCCAAUUAGUUCUUCAAGAGGGAAGUUGUUUAGAUCUUUUGCCUCUUGAAUAGCAGUGACUUUAGGAUCCCAAUUCUUAGGAAGGGAUCUUAGAAUCUUAUUUACGAGCUCAAAAUCCGAAAAACUUUUUCCGAGUCCUUUUAGACCGUUGACGACAUCCGUGAAACGGGUAAACAUGUCGCCAAUAGUCUCACUCGGUUUCAUCCGGAAAAGUUUGAAAGAGUGUAACAAAAGAUUGAUUUUUGACUCUUUCACUCUACUUGUGCCUUCAUGAGUCACUUCGAGUGUGUGCCAAAUAUCAAAUGCAGUUUCACAAAUCGAAACACGAUUAAACUCGUUUUUAUCAAGUGCACAAAAUAAGGCAUUCAUAGCCUUUGCAUUAAGAGCGAAAGCCUUCUUCUCCAAAUCAUUCCAAUCGAUCAUUGGAAGAGAAGACUUCGAAAAACCAUUUUCGACAAGAUUCUAAAGUUCAACAUCCAUAGAGAUAAGAAAGAUCCUCAUUCGGGUCUUCCAAUAGGUGUAGUCCGUCCCAUUAAACAUGGGUGGACGUGUAAUAGAAUGGCCCUCUUGGUUUCCGGCGUAAGCCAUCUCUCUUGGGUUUUAAUCCGUUUGAGAGUUAACCGAGCUCUGAUACCAAUUGUUAGGAUCGAGAGCACUAAGAGGGGGGGGGUGAAUUAGUGCAGCGGAAAACUUUCUGCGAUUAAAAUCAACUUCUGCGUUCGAACGAUAAAAACAACUUCUGUAUGAAAGUUGAUACUAAGUAAGAUUAAAGUCAAUCUAUGCAGGCAGUUUGCAACUAUGAUGAAAACUAGAAUAUCGGCACAAACUGAAAUCCGACGUUCGUACGAAGAAACUGAUUUACGUCUAAAAGCUUAUUCGUAAAUCACUUNNNNNNNNNNNNNNNNNNNNUGAAUUAGUGCAGCGGAAAACUUUCUGCGAUUAAAAUCAACUUCUGCGUUCGAACGAUAAAAACAACUUCUGUAUGAAAGUUGAUACUAAGUAAGAUUAAAGUCAAUCUAUGCAGGCAGUUUGCAACUAUGAUGAAAACUAGAAUAUCGGCACAAACUGAAAUCCGACGUUCGUACGAAGAAACUGAUUUACGUCUAAAAGCUUAUUCGUAAAUCACUUGAUUAGAUAAGACGCAGUUUAAGCAGGAGUAUAAAGGCAGUGUGCAGUUAUGGUAAAGCUCAAAACGUAAACGCAAUCUGCAAUAUGAUGAUCAUACGAAAAAACAGAUUUACGUCUAAACACAGAUUUACGUCUAAACGCAGAUUUACGUCUAAACCUUGAAACUCGUUCGUAAAAUCGCAGAGGGCAGUAAGCUAUUGAGAAGUUUGCAGUGAAGGUAAAAUGCUCAAAGGAAAUGCAAACCGAGAUUUAGAGUGGUUCGGUCAAUCUUGACCUACUCCACUUUUGGCUUACUCUACCGACGAGGUCACCGACGUCAACUAGAGGCCUUCCUUCAAUAGGCGAAGGCCAACCACCCUCUUACAGAUUAACUCCUUUUGACGGGCUUAGGAGACAACCCUUACAGAAGUUUUCUCUCCUCUCUUUACAACUCAAACUUUGAAGAACAGAAAGAGGAGAACUAACAGUUUUGAGCUCUAAGAACCACAGAAAGAUAGCAAGAUUUCGAGUGUGUGUUCUGUGCUUUCAGUGCUGAAUGGGUGGGGUAUUUAUAGGCCCCAACCCAGUUCAAAUUUGGAGCUCAAAUCUGUUAAUUCCCGGAAUUCCGGGAUCAGGCGGUUGCACCUCCUGACUAGGGCGGUUGCACCGCCUGGCAGAGCUCGAAGACUGAGCCUCUGGGCGGUGCCACCUCUGUCAGGGGCGGUUGCACCUCUCUGCCAGAGCUCGAAGACCGAGCUCAGGCGGUUGCACUGCCUGACUGGGGAGGUUGCACCGCCUGGCAGAGCUCGAAACUUGAGCUCUGGCGGUGCUACCUCUUGACAGAAGAGGUUGCACCGCCCAGUCUUGCUCGGAGACUGAGCCCGGGGCGGUGCCACCUCUUGGUUGGGACGGUUGCACCGCCCAGUCUCGCUGGGAGACAUAGCCUGGGCGGUGCUACCUCCUGGCUUGGGCGGUUGCACCUCCUACAGCAAUCAGGGUCCGAAUGGGUUAAUUCAUUCGGCCCAAUUUGAUUCUUUCAGGGGCCCAAUUGCCCCAAGAUUAAGCUAAUGGGAUCACCUCCCAUUUCUAACUUAAUCAAUGUGCUAACUACGAUUAUUUCCUAAGACAUAUUCUGCAGCUUGCUCCGGUGCGUCAAUUGCUUCUUCCGGCGAGUUUCCGACGAACUUCCGUCGAUUAUCGGACGAACCCUCGGUGAUCCUCCUGCGGACUUUCGGCAAACUCCUGGACUUGCGACGAUCCACUUGGCAAGUUCCGACGAGCUCCUUUGGCAAGCUUUUGGACUUCUCGGAUUUGUUCCCGCAGAACCUCCGACGACUGUCCGAACUUCCGUCGAGCUCUCGAACUCCCAACGUGAUCAUUGUCAUGACUCCGGCGCAACUCCUGCUGCAUGUCUUACUUU